GGCCGGUUAGUUCAGUCAGUUGAGCGUAGCGCUAGCAACGCUAAGGUCAUGGGUUUGAUUCCCAUUUGGUCCC
Non-coding RNA from Apaloderma vittatum (bar-tailed trogon), 73 nucleotides. The record is from Rfam. Lineage: Eukaryota; Metazoa; Chordata; Aves; Trogoniformes; Trogonidae.